AACGAACGCUGGCGGCAUGCCUAACACAUGCAAGUCGAACGAGACCUUCGGGUCUAGUGGCGCACGGGUGCGUAACGCGUGGGAACCUGCCCUUAGGUUCGGAAUAACUCCCCGAAAGGGGUGCUAAUACCGGAUAAUGUCUUCGGACCAAAGAUUUAUCGCCUUUGGAUGGGCCCGCGUUGGAUUAGCUAGUUGGUAGGGUAAAAGCCUACCAAGGCGACGAUCCAUAGCUGGUCUGAGAGGAUGAUCAGCCACACUGGGAAUGAGACACGGCCCAGACUCCUACGGGAGGCAGCAGUGGGGAAUAUUGGACAAGGGGCGAAAGACUGAUCCAGCAAUGCGGCGUGAGUGAUGAAGGCCUUAGGGUUGUAAAGCUCUUUUACCCGGGAUGAUAAUGACAGUACCGGGAGAAUAAGCUCCGGCUAACUCCGUG
Molecule: ribosomal RNA, 433 nt
Filed under: uncultured bacterium
Lineage: Bacteria
Description: partial 16S ribosomal RNA
Rfam family: Bacterial small subunit ribosomal RNA
Source: RNAcentral